Molecule: transfer RNA, 87 nt
Filed under: Nitrospinota bacterium
Lineage: Bacteria; Pseudomonadati; Nitrospinota
Description: tRNA-Leu
Rfam family: tRNA
About the family: Transfer RNA (tRNA) molecules are approximately 80 nucleotides in length. Their secondary structure includes four short double-helical elements and three loops (D, anti-codon, and T loops).
Source: RNAcentral
GCCGAAGUGGUGGAAUUGGUAGACACGCAGGACUCAGAAUCCUGUGGGCGCAAGCCUGUGGGAGUUCAAGUCUCCCCUUCGGCACCA